This 301-nucleotide ribosomal RNA is filed under the name uncultured bacterium. Its description in RNAcentral is "partial 16S ribosomal RNA". It matches the Rfam family "Bacterial small subunit ribosomal RNA", at positions 510 to 808 of the family's 1533-position model. The record is from RNAcentral.
CAUAGCCACGGUAAUACGUAGGUGGCAAGCGUUGUCCGGAAUUAUUGGGCGUAAAGGGCUCGCAGGCGGUUUCUUAAGUCUGAUGUGAAAGCCCCCGGCUCAACCGGGGAGGGUCAUUGGAAACUGGGAAACUUGAGUGCAGAAGAGGAGAGUGGAAUUCCACGUGUAGCGGUGAAAUGCGUAGAGAUGUGGAGGAACACCAGUGGCGAAGGCGACUCUCUGGUCUGUAACUGACGCUGAGGAGCGAAAGCGUGGGGAGCGAACAGGAUUAGAUACCCCAGUAGUCCCUGUCUCUUAUACA